Molecule: ribosomal RNA, 253 nt
Filed under: uncultured bacterium
Lineage: Bacteria
Description: partial 16S ribosomal RNA
Rfam family: Bacterial small subunit ribosomal RNA
Source: RNAcentral
UACGUAGGGCGCAAGCGUUGUCCGGAAUUAUUGGGCGUAAAGAGCUCGUAGGUGGCUUGUCGCGUCUGCCGUGAAAGCCCAUGGCUUAACUGUGGGUCUGCGGUGGAUACGGGCAGGCUGGAGGCUGGUAGGGGCAAGCGGAAUUCCUGGUGUAGCGGUGAAAUGCGCAGAUAUCAGGAGGAACACCGGUGGCGAAGGCGGCUUGCUGGGCCAGUUCUGACGCUGAGGCGCGAAAGCGUGGGGAGCGAACAGG